AUGGAUUGCCACCUCUUCCACGGGGAGGAGCAGCGGCUGGCGGUGUCCCGCGAGGCGGCCUCGGUCGCCGUGGACACGUGCAUGGUGGCCGCCGCGGUGACAGGCGCGUCGCUGCUUGCGUGGUGGUCCGUGGCGUUCCACCCGUCCAACAGCCGGCUGUGGAUGGUGCCCGUCGGCCUCGUGCUGGCAUGCACCCCGGCCGUCGUCUGCCUCGCGCUCACCCUUUCGGCCGAGCCGCGCGUGCAAGACGCCGGUGCGAAGACGGCGCCGUUGUCAGCCGUGGUCGUGGAGAUGUAG
RNAcentral lists this ribosomal RNA (297 nucleotides) under Triticum aestivum (bread wheat). RNAcentral's name for it is "partial small subunit ribosomal RNA". The record is from RNAcentral. Lineage: Eukaryota; Viridiplantae; Streptophyta; Magnoliopsida; Poales; Poaceae.